AGGGGCAUGGCUCAGUGGUAGAGCAUCUGCUUUGCAUGCAGAAGGUCCCAGGUUCAAUCCCUUGAGUCUCAA
This is a non-coding RNA of Lacerta agilis (Sand lizard), 72 nucleotides long. The record is from the annotation of a RefSeq genome assembly. Lineage: Eukaryota; Metazoa; Chordata; Lepidosauria; Squamata; Lacertidae.